UUUCCGGUUGAUCCUGCCGGAGGCCAUUGCUAUCGGAGUCCGAUUUAGCCAUGCUAGUCGUGCGAGUUCAGACUCGCGGCACCGAGCUCAGUAACACGUGGCCAAACUACCCUACAGAGACGGAUACCCUCGGGAAACUGAGGUUAACCCGUCAUACCGAUCUCAGGCUUGAAUCGCAGAGAUCACAAAACGCCCCGGCGCUGUAGGAUGUGGCUGCGGUUGAUUAGGUAGACGGUGGGGUAACGGCCCACCGUGCCCAUAAUCAGUACAGGUUGUGAGAGCAAGAACCUGGAGACGGAAUCUGAGACAAGAUUCCGGGCCCUACGGGGCGCAGCAGGCGCGAAACCUUUACACUGCACGGACGUGCGAUAAGGGAAUCCCGAGUGCGAGGGCAUAUCGUCCUCGCUUUCGCGUACCGUAGGGUGGUACACCAACAAGGGCUGGGCAAGACCGGUGCCAGCCGCCGCGGUAAUACCGGCAGCCCGAGUGAUGGCCGAUCUUAUUGGGCCUAAAGCGUCCGUAGCUGGCUGCGCAAGUCCGUCGGGAAAUCCACUCGCCCAACGAGUGGGCGUCCGACGGAAACUGCACAGCUUGGGACCGGAAGGCUCGAAGGGUACGUUCGGGGUAGGAGUGAAAUCCCAUAAUCCCGCACGGACCACCGAUGGCGAAAGCACUUCGAGAAAACGGAUCCGACAGUGAGGGACGAAAGCCAGGGUCUCCAACCGGAUUAGAUACCCGGGUAGUCCUGGCCGUAAACAAUGUUCGCUAGGUAUGACACAGACUACGCGUCUCUGUUGUGCCGUAGGGAAGCCGAGAAGCGAACCGCCUGGGAAGUACGUCUGCAAGGAUGAAACUUAAAGGAAUUGGCGGGGGAGCACUACAACCGGAGGAGCCUGCGGUUUAAUUGGAUUCAACGCCGGAA
This 922-nucleotide ribosomal RNA is filed under the name uncultured archaeon. RNAcentral's name for it is "bacterial SSU rRNA". It matches the Rfam family "Archaeal small subunit ribosomal RNA", at positions 1 to 923 of the family's 1478-position model. The record is from RNAcentral.